Molecule: non-coding RNA, 72 nt
Organism: Hordeum vulgare subsp. vulgare (domesticated barley)
Lineage: Eukaryota; Viridiplantae; Streptophyta; Magnoliopsida; Poales; Poaceae
Source: Rfam
CCAAAGGUUUUAUUUGGAACAUAUUGUAUAUAAUACUUACCAAAACCACAAAAAUAUUAUUUGAAAAGUUAU